UGGCAAGAUGUCGGCAUAGCUGACGUUGAAAAGCGAUUUUGAAGAGCGCUAUGCUGCAUCUAGUCAGU
This 68-nucleotide microRNA precursor is filed under the name Drosophila melanogaster (fruit fly). RNAcentral describes it as "Dme-Mir-31-P1_pre stem-loop". RNAcentral also lists the same sequence under 1 other name. Lineage: Eukaryota; Metazoa; Arthropoda; Insecta; Diptera; Drosophilidae. The record is from RNAcentral.